AUAGAAAUGUUACAGAAAAUAGAACUGACUCGACAUAAUGUACUGGCAUUUUGUUCUCCCAUAACCUUGCAUGCCUUGCUAAAGAUAAGGAACCGCAAGAUGCCUACACUGCAGCUGCGGCUGUGAGAAAAAAGGAUGAGCCAGACGUGUCUUUUUGCACGUAUACCCAAACCACCCAUCCUUUUUAUCUGCUUGCUUAGUUUUAUGCCAAGUAUGCAUAGUUAUAAGUUUUCUCUUAUAUGCUAAUACCUGAAUCAUCAUUGGCUAACCCUCUGCCUUGCUGACAAUUUUAAGGUAUAUAAGAAACUGAUCCAACUCUGUAUGUUGGAACACUGCUCGAUGAUUAUCUAGCACCCUGUGUGCUGAGAGUGUUCUCAGUUUGCAAACUUAAGAAAUAAAGGCCUGUGUGUUUGGAAUUCGCAGUCUCGCUUCCUUUAUUAGAAUUUCCACGACAAUUCUUGGCGACCCAGAUGGGACGGCUAGCUCCGUUUUCCGAUUGCUCCCGGGGACUUUGAGGUUAACCGUGCACGGGGGCUGCUUAGGAGUGGCUCAGGGAACCACACUCUGAAAUAGUUUCGGAGGUGAAGGACCCGCCUUGAACCCGGCUGGGAGCAUCGGUGGACGGAUACGCCGUACCGAACAAAGACAAAGGGUGAGACUGGUUUUCCUCAUACAUAAAAUAGACCAAUUGGUUCAGGUUCUGGGAACCUGAUAAAACCCGUUCUGGGAACGGGCUGCGCAGAAAGAGUUCUGGGAACUCUAUUGUCUAGAGGACAAAAAGAUAGACCACGUGGUUCAGGUUCUGGGAACCUGAUAAAACCCGUUCUGGGAACGGGCUGCGCAGAAAGAGUUCUGGGAACUUUGUUGUCUAAGACAUAGAAAUCCUGAUCCGGAAACAGGUAAAUUAAGUGAUUCGACUGAUCUAUGAAUAAUACUAAUAAGUAAUUACAAAUUAAACUAGUUAAAAAGAUAUCGUAUGAAAUACCAAAUAUUGAACUAAAAAUAACAAUUGAAAAAAUUAAAUGCACAGUUUAAAAAAAAAAAAAAAAAAAAGUCAUACUACUAGUGUAGUUGAUCAAUAUACCAAGUGCACUGUUGGAUGGUCAAUUAAGAAAAGUAAUUUUUCUGUGCAGGUGGUGCAAAUAAAAAUAGACAGUGAUAUAGUGUGGACGACAGAUAACCGUGUGAAUGAGUGAGUGAAUGAGUGUUAUCUGAUAAUUGUGUGUGUGUGCGCGUGUGGGUUUGAUUACAAUGAGGUCAAGUAAUAGUAAAAAGGAGGUCUGUCUCCCGGACGCGCUGGUUGGACCGGGACGAACGAUGGCUGAUAAAUGGGGUCGCGGUGUUGUAGACCAGGUUGUUCUGUGGCAUAAAAUAGCUGAUUUUCCACUAAAAGCAACCCAGAGUGAAAGGAAGUUACAAGAAUGUAGAGAAAAGUUAGAGUUUGAGAAGACAAAGAAAGAGAAAAAGACUGGGAUGGUUAUAGGAAAUGAGAACGAGAAGCAGAAAGACAAACAGCUAAAAGCAUAAUGGUAAAAGCAAGUCAGAAAGAUAGUACUGAGGAAGUGAAAAAAAGAAAAAAAAGACAGAGAAACAGAGAUUACGAUGAGGAAAGGGACUGCUCCCCCCCCCGUAUUGUGUUCCUGUUUCCACAGCCCCUGCUCCUGCUCCUCGGCCCGACCGGCCCGUCCAGGUCCAUCAACAGCCUCCGCCCACAGCAGAGAGUCCGCUGCCCGCACCUCCGCCUCUGAUAUCCACCCCAAGCAACCCGACAGGUUUCCAAGGCGGUUCCCGGUGGACUUGGUCCCCUUGGUCGCCCCCUGGACUGAGCUUCUUAUCAUCGCCAGAAUCCCCUGAGACAUCAGGAUCUUCCAGCACGCUCACUACACGGUUGGGACCAAAAGGCAAUCUGAACAACGCCAUUAUCAUGGCCCCCCUGACAGCGUACUGGCUGCCAGAGGUCCUGAUUCAGCGCACCUGGAGACAAGAUGAGAUUAAAGACAUUGCUAAAGACUUGCCCGACCCAACUAAGGAUGCAGUUCAGUUCAGCGAGCAGAUGACCCGUCUUGUGCGUCAAUACAAACCCUCUGCCGCUGAAAUAGGGCACAUUAUGCGAUGCAAAUUAAAGCUUCGCUGGGAGGACAUCGAAGAUACUUUUGACAAAAAUCUGACGUGGAAACCGGCAGGGGAUGGAGAAUAUCAACCGCAGUUUGAACAGUUGCUGGACAGAUUGAAAUGACAAUACCCUACUAAAACCGAUUGGGAUGCUAUACAUAGAGCACACAGCACUCCAAAGAGUCUCUAGAGGAAUAUAGACAAAGAUUGGAGACGUGCUUUCGCAAACACAGCGGACUCCGACCAGGCACCGAUGAAUACAACAGUCUUUUAAAAGCAGCCAUAAUAAACGGACUCGUACCUGCCCUCAAUAAACAGGUACGGAUGACAUGCAUUGGAUGGGAGACGGCUCCCCUCAUUACAUUGCAAGCACGCUGAAAGACAACAACAGAAGCAAGAGAGCAAUCAAAAGACAAAAGCUGAAAAAGGAGUUAAACUGCAAGCAGCUCAGCUGGCUUAUUAUCAGGGCAAAGGACCAACCCGAGGCGGAUACCAACGCGGACGGGGCGGACGUGGGACGGGGGGUAGGGGGAAGCGGAGGCGGUGGCAACAGAAACUUCCACAACCAGGAUAAAGACACUAGUUGCUAUAAUUAUGGCCAGGAAGGACAUUUUGCUAGAGAGUGUCGGAGACAGCAGCAGCAACAACAACAAACCAACGGGAGUAACUGGCAGAGCGCUCCCCCACCGCAAGUAACACUAUACAAACCGAAACCAGAAUGAAACGAGGCAGGGACAGCUGGCACCAAAACAGCGAACAAGCAGUACGUGCUAACUUUUUCUAAACCACAAGAAGCCCCCACCGUUGAUCUCUUCGUGAAUGGGUAAAAGCUGCUCUAACCGAACCGAAGGAACCGAAGGCUCCACAAGCUCCUGCCAGGGGACUGGGUGAUCAUCAAAGACCUCCGGAAGCAUUGGCAUCAACAACGCUGGACAGGUCCGUUCCAGGUGCUCCUGACAACGCAGACAGCGGUGAAAGUCGCUGAACGAUCAACCUGUAUCCACGCAAGCCAUUGCGGAAAAGUGCCCUAUAGCCCGAAGGAAGAUGUAUCGCCCCCUGGAACAACGUAGACGGCUCGGAUGGCCUUGGGGACAGUCAGCUUUGGACCCCCAGAGUCCUGACUUAUUUUUCUUGGCAGCAUAUUAACUGUGUUUCUCAUCUGGCUCUUAACUGAACUAAAAGAUAAUAAAAAAGAGCCAGAUACUACAAACCACAGCUACGCUGAAAAUCGCACAGAACUCAGAACAAAAACAACAUUGCACACAUGGAGUGUAGAACAUGAUUGAAAACAUGCGGACAAUGGUUGGUGGGAAAUGCUCAACCAUACUGUACGGAACACUUUGAACAUUACUGACACUGGUUUAUAUAUGAUGUAGUGAUAUUGUUGUUGUUUUUGCUUAUCAUAACUUGUGUGAAAAAGUUAUGUACUAAAACUGUUGACACUGUUUUAAACAUGCCCCUGCUUACUAAUGAUGACCAGUGUAAUGAUUCAAAUGAUGACCCUUUCAACAAAAUGGCAGAUGACCUGAUGAGUUAAGAUAGUGGGGAAAAUCUGCAAGCGGGAUACGUUGGGUCGUCACUUUGUUCAUAUUACACUACAUGUUAAACUUUGUAAAUCUCGCUUUAACUUGUACUAUUGUGUGUGUGUUUGAAUCCAUUUUCUGAAUAAGGUUGAGACAAAGUCUCAAAAGGGAGGGAAUGUUAUAGAAAUGUUACAGAAAAUAGAACUGACUCGACAUAAUGUACUGGCAUUUUGUUCUCCCAUAACCUUGCAUGCCUUGCUAAAGAUAAGGAACCGCAAGAUGCCUACACUGCAGCUGCGGCUGUGAGAAAAAAGGAUGAGCCAGACGUGUCUUUUUGCACGUAUACCCAAACCACCCAUCCUUUUUAUCUGCUUGCUUAGUUUUAUGCCAAGUAUGCAUAGUUAUAAGUUUUCUCUUAUAUGCUAAUACCUGAAUCAUCAUUGGCUAACCCUCUGCCUUGCUGACAAUUUUAAGGUAUAUAAGAAACUGAUCCAACUCUGUAUGUUGGAACACUGCUCGAUGAUUAUCUAGCACCCUGUGUGCUGAGAGUGUUCUCAGUUUGCAAACUUAAGAAAUAAAGGCCUGUGUGUUUGGAA
This is a long non-coding RNA of Acipenser ruthenus (sterlet), 4231 nucleotides long. RefSeq lists it as uncharacterized. NCBI's taxonomy places the organism in Eukaryota, Metazoa, Chordata, Actinopteri, Acipenseriformes, Acipenseridae. The record is from RefSeq and is a predicted model, not a curated record. The transcript has 2 exons.